This 164-nucleotide ribosomal RNA is filed under the name Witheringia solanacea. Its description in RNAcentral is "5.8S ribosomal RNA". It matches the Rfam family "5.8S ribosomal RNA". From Rfam's summary of the family: 5.8S ribosomal RNA (5.8S rRNA) is a component of the large subunit of the eukaryotic ribosome. It is transcribed by RNA polymerase I as part of the 45S precursor that also contains 18S and 28S rRNA. The record is from RNAcentral. Lineage: Eukaryota; Viridiplantae; Streptophyta; Magnoliopsida; Solanales; Solanaceae.
CAAACGACUCUCGGCAACGGAUAUCUCGGCUCUCGCAUCGAUGAAGAACGUAGCGAAAUGCGAUACUUGGUGUGAAUUGCAGAAUCCCGUGAACCAUCGAGUCUUUGAACGCAAGUUGCGCCCGAAGCCACUAGGCCGAGGGCACGCCUGCCUGGGCGUCACGC